UACGAAGGGGGCUAGCGUUGCUCGGAAUGACUGGGCGUAAAGGGCGCGUAGGCGGUGCAUUUGGUCAGGCGUGAAACCUCCAGGCUCAACCUGGAGACGCCACGCGAUACUGGCGUGACUAGAGUUCGGUAGGGGAUCACGGAAUUCCUGGUGUAGCGGUGAAAUGCGCAGAUAUCAGGAGGAACACCAGUGGCGAAGGCGGCUAUCUGGACGGUUUCUGACGCUAAGACGCGAAAGCGUGGGGAGCAAACAGG
Molecule: ribosomal RNA, 254 nt
Filed under: uncultured bacterium
Lineage: Bacteria
Description: partial 16S ribosomal RNA
Rfam family: Bacterial small subunit ribosomal RNA
Source: RNAcentral